CCGAGCCACGAGUGGUGACCACGAUUAUUGGGCUUAAAGCGUUCGUAGCCUGUUUGGAAAGUUUCUGAUGAAAUCCUGCAGUCAACUGCAGGGCUUGUCAGGGAUACUACUAGACUUGAGACCGGGAGAGGCUGAGGGUAUUCCUGGGGUAGGAGUAAAAUCCUGUAAUCCCAGGAGGACCACCUGUGGCGAAGGCGCUCAGCUAGAACGGAUCUGACGGUGAGGGACGAAAGCUAGGGGAGCGAAGCGGAUUAGAUACCCGAGUAGUCC
This 270-nucleotide ribosomal RNA is filed under the name uncultured archaeon. RNAcentral describes it as "partial 16S ribosomal RNA". It matches the Rfam family "Archaeal small subunit ribosomal RNA", at positions 477 to 747 of the family's 1478-position model. The record is from RNAcentral.